UGAUAGAUUUAUCUUUUCGGGAAUGUC
RNAcentral lists this non-coding RNA (27 nucleotides) under Homo sapiens (human). Lineage: Eukaryota; Metazoa; Chordata; Mammalia; Primates; Hominidae. The record is from RNAcentral.